AAUCGGUUGGGGUGUUUUUCAGGUGUGUGGGUGGUUUAGUUUUUUCGCUGUUUGGGGCCAUAUUGCUUUUAUGAGCUGUGACACUCACCGCGAAAGUCUGCGAAGCUUCAUUCAUGUAAGCCCCCGAGACCACGAACCUGCCGAGAGGAACGAACAAUUGUAGACGCGCCGCCUUAAGAGCUCUAACACUCACCGCGAAGGUCCGCAACUUCACUCCUGAGCCAGCGAGACCAGGAACCCACCAGAAGGAAAAAACUCUGGAACACAUCGGAAUAUCAGAAAGAACAAACUCCAGACACGCCGCCUUUAACAACUGUAACACUCACAGCGAGUGUCUGCACUUCAUUCUUGAAGUUAGUAAGAUCAAGAACCCACCACUUCCGGACACAAAAGUAAGGGGAUUACAGGUGGGAGCCCCCGCGCCUAGCCCAAACUGGCGCUGAUUCUUCAUUUGUAUAUCGCAGUUAGUAAAAGGGCUCCCUGACCCCUAGCCUUGAAUUUGGGGAGUAAUUUGAUAUUCUUGAUCAUCACUACCUCCUUUGUAAUAUAUUCUUUCAAAGUAUGUCUGUUUCCCUUUCCCCCAGUACUUGUCAGUAUUUUGUUUGUGGGGCGCGGGGGGGGUCUCAUUCUAUUGCCCAGGCUGGAGUGCAGUGGCGUGAUCUUGGCUCACUGCAACCUCUGCUUCCUGGGUUCAAGCGAUUCUUCUGUCUUCUGAGUAGCUGGGAUUAUAGGUGAGCGACACCACGCCUGGCUAAUUUUUGUAUUUUUAGUGGCGAUGAGGUUUCAUCAUGUUGGCUAGGCUGGUUUUGAACUCCUCACCUGAAGUAAUCUGUUCACCUCGGCCUCCCAAAGUGCUGGGAUUAAGAGGUGUCAACCACCGUGCCUAGCUAAAUGUUUGCAUUUUUUAUGGAGACGGGGUUUCACCAUGUUGCCCAGGCUGGUCUCAAACUCCUAGGCUCAAGCAAUCUGCUUGCCUUGGCCUCCUAAAGUGCUGGGACUGCAGGUACGAGCCACUGCACUCAGCCUAAGGCAUUUUCUUUUCUUUAAAUUUAUUUUUAUAUCUUACUUUAUUCAUUUAUUUUUCGAGAUGGAGUCCUGCUCUGUCACCCAGGGUGGAGUGCAGUGGCGUGCUCUUGGCUCACUGCGUCCUCCGCCUCCUGGGUUCAAGCAAUUCUCCUGUCUCAGCCUCCCGAGUAGCUGGGAUUGCAGGCAUGUACCACCACAUCUGACUAUUUUUUCUAUUUUUAGUAGGGACAGGGUUUCACCAUGUUGGCCAGGCGGGUCUCGAACUCCUGACCUCAAGUAAUCCACACGCCUUGGCCUCCUAAAGUGCUGGCAUUACAGGCGUGAGCCACCAUGCCCAGCUGUAUUUUAUUUUAUAGAGACAGGGUUUCACUGUGUUACCCAGGUUAGUCUUGAACUCCUGGACUCAAGUGAUCCUCUUGCCUUGACCUCCCAAUGUGCUGGG
Molecule: long non-coding RNA, 1468 nt
Filed under: Homo sapiens (human)
Lineage: Eukaryota; Metazoa; Chordata; Mammalia; Primates; Hominidae
Description: HSALNT0371022
Source: RNAcentral